CUUAAAGACUCCAUGGCAGAGCUUGAGGAGCUCCAUGCACAGCUGAGGAACACACAUGGGACAGUGUAAAGGCACAGAGCAGGAACAAAACCAGAGAAAAUGGAGAUGAGUAGAUGUGCUAGAAGCCUUACAAUUAGGAAAGAGCCGUGAAGCCUUAGAGAAAGCGAGCCUUCAUAGGAUUUGUUCAUGCUCAGUAGCAGACACAGUCUCAUCCUGAUUUGAGUAGAAAACUGUGGAGUUAUCCAUAGCCUGGUGCAUGAUCUGUAAGUGGAGCACAUCACAGUACCUCUGCUUUCUUCAAAGAUUUACUCAGAAAGUUAAAAAUGAAGAUUUGAGAUAUUCUGCAGUGAAAGGGGAAAACUUGGUGACUUGAAUCCCGCUUUUAUUCCCAGAUUUCAUUUAUCUUUAUUUCUCAUUUCACUUGAGCAGUCUGAACACCAGAGCUGUCCCUCCUUAGGGCAGUGCCUGAAACACGAGGCUGCUCCACAGGGGAGAGUGGUGAAGCAUCAAAGCCUUUCCAUGCAGUGAAACAGAGCGCAGCAGCCCUUAAUUCUGCAUUCCCAAUCCCUGCUGGAACUUGAAGCACAGGACCUACGGACAGAAACAGCUUUGGAGGACAGAGCUGGCAGGAACAAGGAGCAGGAGGCAGAGAAUAUUCCAGGUAAUUCAGAAUUUCCCUUCCGUACAUCCCCAUUCUCUGCACGUGCGUUUUGCCAGCGUUCAGCCAGGAAGGAUCAAGGCUGCUUCCCUGCUACUGCAAGGAACUUUUCCAUGUGCCCACAAGGUCAUGGACACUCUGGAACAGGAGGGAUUGAGACAGCACAAGUGACAGCAGAGACGGCAUCUCCUGGGUGGAAGGAGCUGGAGCCGAGGCACCCACUUUGCUCCUCCUGGGAGACAGCUCCACGCAGUCAGACACCACCAGGGUGCCAAGCAAUGAAGUCAGCAGCACUGAACUCAGCAGCUGUACAGAUGUCUUGGGUUUGGGGCCAUGCUCAACAUAUCAACUCCAACAGGAGGUUUUUGGAAGGUUCCUCAGGAGCCAGGCGGUUCUUGCUGCACUGUCCACAGGCAAACACUGCUCUGGCUCUUUGGCCAAACUGGAACAGUGCCAGUCACUCAGGGAACUGCUGCCAUUGGUACAGCAAAAUUGUUCCUUCCCACAGUCAUCUUCACUGCUCUUUGUGGUUAUCUUGAAUAAAUAACUGUUAUUUUACCUCAGAA
This is a long non-coding RNA of Cyanistes caeruleus (blue tit), 1224 nucleotides long. RefSeq lists it as uncharacterized. Lineage: Eukaryota; Metazoa; Chordata; Aves; Passeriformes; Paridae. The record is from RefSeq and is a predicted model, not a curated record.